CGCCUGCACCGAGCCGCCUCCUCAUGCCGCGCCGGGCCCCGGCGCCCCGCGGCCGCCGCGGGAGCUGAGCACAGGCCAGGGCGGCGUCCCGGCCAGCGACGAACGCGCUCCGACUCCGGCCGCCGCCAGCUGCCUGCCUGGCCGCAAGGGCGGCAGCGGCAUUACCGCCGCGCGCCCGGGGUGAGGCGCCCCCGCCGGGCCCGCGGACACCAGGCGAAGAGCAACCGGGCGACGCGCGCUGCGGGCAGAGCCGGGGAGCCGGAAGAGCAGAGGCCGAGCGCCGUCGGAGCCGCGUCUGGUUGGAGAAAGAGGCGGACGUGAAGGGGCGGGGGAGCCGCGGAGGAAAACCGGGACCGGCGGGAACGUCUCGAGACCCCUGCGCGCUUCGCGCGCUCGCUCGGAACUCGGCAGGCGGCGCUGCGCCGGGCCCCGAGGAAACCUGGAGGUCCCCGCCCUCCCCGCGCCCGAAACACCGCGCGUCCUGAUAGGCCCGCGCCCAGCAGCCCCCUCCCCGCGCCCGCCGCACCGGGGCCCCACCGCCUCCUGCGUCAC
This 552-nucleotide long non-coding RNA is filed under the name Homo sapiens (human). RNAcentral's name for it is "HSALNT0393684". The record is from RNAcentral. Lineage: Eukaryota; Metazoa; Chordata; Mammalia; Primates; Hominidae.